Molecule: long non-coding RNA, 5996 nt
Filed under: Podarcis lilfordi (Lilford's wall lizard)
Lineage: Eukaryota; Metazoa; Chordata; Lepidosauria; Squamata; Lacertidae
Source: RNAcentral
GGCCCUGCAUACAGUACAGCAAACUGCACUACCUGCAGGGUGCUCAUCCACCAUGAAAGUCCUCUAUUAUCUCAUUCUUUACAUGAAUGAAAUGUGAAUACAGUUCCUCGUUCUCAAAAACCAUUACACUGAUUGGAUUUUGUCUGGAAGCCACCGAAUGAGUUUUUCCACACAAUUAUUUUCAACAGAUUGAAAAUGUGUGCCUCUCUUCUGUCAGGUGGUGACGGAAGCCGCUCUUGAGUUUUAAGGAUCUUAAAAAAUAGCAAUGUUUUGUAACCUUUUUUCUUUCCUUUUUUUUUUUGAAGUCUUCAGCCUGCAGGAGAUGGGGAAGAAAAUCAACAAUCUAACAAAUUCCUUUCUUUUUCUUUUGCCAGAAUAUUUUUUUCUGGAACACUUACUGGGUUUAUUGUGUUCGAUGACUGGAAUUGAUUUCAACAUAAACACACGUGUUGAAGACAUUCAUUCAUAAGGAAAAGAUCAAGGGGCCAAAACUAUGUUACAUUAACAUAUAUACCAGCAACACAGAAGCCUCAAGAGGCAGGGAAAUUUAGUGGAUGGGGUGUGGGACUUGCACUGGGAAAUGUAAGUUCAGAUCCUUGCUUGGACAUGAAGCUACUGGGGCAGUGACUGUUUCAGUGGUUAUGAGGAAGAGGAGAUUGCUGAUAUGAGCUCUUUGGAUGACUGGCAGUGUUUUAUUAAAUUAGUUAACAUAGUAUUCUAGGAAGCCUGUAGUUCUGAAUCAAAUACCGUGGCCUCAGGAAUUUUCAACAACAACCACACCACCUUUUGGUUUAAGGCAGAAUCAUAAAAUCACGGAACUUUAGAGCUGGAAGGGACCACGAGGGUCAUUUAGACCAACCCCCUGCAAUGCAGGAAUCUAUUGCUCAAAGUUGGGCUCAAGCCCACAUUGAAAAGAAAAGUGGAUGGCAGGGGCGUAGAGCUUGGAGAGGAACAAAUUCCAUGACAAGGCACAAAAACCAGCAGUGUACCAGAAUUGGUUUCAUAUUCUUAAAUGGUGUGUCUGCACUUUGUUAAACAAAAGACAGUUGUUUUGAAGCUCUGAACCUUGUAAGAAAGAUGCAAUCUCUGAUCUGAAAACCUGCCCUACAACAGUGCCUCAUUUAGGAGGAAACUGCACUCUGCACAUUUUCAAAAGAAAUCUUUGUUUAUGGUAAAUCAUUUCCCAGAAUGCUUUUGUUAUCUUGCACGUCCACCUUGUAUGAAGGGCAGAGGGAAGUCAAUGGAUUCAGGGAAUCCUAAAUGAUAAUGUGGAUUUGUUUGAAUUUAAAUUUGUUAUGUAAACUUAAUAAAAAUAUGUAUAUUUUAAAAAAAUCCUUGUUUAUGGUCUGUAUACUACAGAGCCAAGUCCUGGCGUUGAAAAUGGUUGCCACAAUGCUGCUCUGAAUCUGAAGACAGUACCUCAAACUGUGAGCACAACAUUAUUCUCCAACCUGUCCAUUCUCUCACUCAAUUGACUACAGGAAAAUAUUGUUUGCAGUGCUUUACUUUGGCAGCAGGUUGGGCUAGAUGACCUUUGGCUGUGGUCUGAUAAUUUAGCUGGAAGUAGAUUCAAUUUCUUUUUAGUUGAAGUGGAUUCAGUUGAUUUCAGUGGAAUGUGCUUUGUGCUUAGGACUGCAACAUAACAUAGACACUUAUUUUUGCAGCCUUAGUUUUAGGAAAUCCUAAGGAUGUUUGUGUGUGUGAGUGUGUGAAAGAGAAAUGAAAGCAGUUUAACAUUUCAUCCAAUGUGCAGCAGGGCAGAAGAACACUCAAAUCUGAGUGUCUCCAAUUAUACAAAAACAAUUUCUUUUAGUGGGGGACAGAGGUUUAGACAUGCUCAGAAGCACUUCCAAAUUUCUCUCUGAUUGGUGGAGGCCUAGCAAGGUGUUGGAAGGGCUUGGGGUCAUUUGGAUGCCAGCAGCUUCCUUCUUAGCCUUUUUGACACGAGAGCUCCAUCAGUUGGACCACAGCAUUGGAGAAGCUGUCACCAGCAGAGUGGUGGGAUCCAGCACUGGAUCUGUUUCACCAACGUCAGACCUCUGUUCAUGAUUUCAGGUUGGUGGAUCCUGUCCAUCCACUCAUUGGAGGAGGAAGAGGAGGGCAUGGGGAGCGCACCGCCCCCAGCACCACAAUCCCGGUGGGGUGCCAUCGUGGCUGUCCCCCCGCUGGGCGCCACACCCCUGUGGGUGGUGUGCCACACCCCCAGGAUGCACACCAUGCCCCCGGGGCGUGCACCAGACAUGCCUCCGCCUGCUCUCCACCACUGCGUCCACUGACCACUUGAAUGCUGUCCCAGGGAUCAUAGGACUGCCCCCUUCUAGGAUGGCAGAUCUCUGCCUUUUCUCUUGGUGGAGAAGGAAGCAAAAUCAUCAGGGACUCUGUCUUGCACACUUUAGCCUCGAUUUAAGUGUGGGUGUUCAGGGUUAGGGUGUAACUGUCUUUGAAAAUGCUUUUUUUUCUGGCACAUGCAUUUUUUCGGGUGGGUGGGAAGGCAAUAGAAUGAAGCUUUAGAGUUGUUGGGUUAAAAACAAAACAAAAUUGAGGCGAUGCCCAUUAUAAUAAAGAGUGUGAAUGUGUGUGCACAAUGAACAUAUGUUUAUAUUCCAAAACACAUGUAAUUAAAGCGGCUAAACUGAAAGAGAGGAAGGAAGAUAUAAUUAAGCACGAAGGUUGUUCAUGCUAGUUGUUCCUCCUCCUUACUUAUCCGAUCAGCCUGUUAAUCAUAUCCCCCCCUCUGUUUCAAGAUGUUUGAAACUUUCCUAAUUUGAGCUGGCAGCUCUUCCCUUAAUGUUAUUUUAAUAGACCUUGUCUUGCUUUCAGAGAGCAAUGAAAGCAAAGGUUUCGUCAAGAAAGAAAAUUGCCUUAUCCCUGCUGAGUUGUUGAUUUAGUACAGCUAUUAAUGACUAAAAGAAGUUAGAGAAAAGAUCUUCCUACUCCAUCUUAAAACCAACUAUAGAGGAAGAAGUCAUCAGGGUCAUUUCCUAAACAUUCCCACAAUGGGCAAGGUACCCUAAGUCCUUCCUUCUCCAUCCUGGUUGGCUCCAUAUGCUUUGGACUACACUUAUCACCAGCUUCAUCCAUCACAAACAAAUAUAUCCUUGUGGGUUGGCCAUCUUGACUACUGUGAAUAAAUGAAUGGUAAGGGAACUGCGGGGGGGGGGGGCGGGUCCUAAUAUCUAUGGAUAUUUUCCUGAAUGGGCAAUUCACUUGCAUGCAUUGUGUCUGAGAUGAACAGGGUGCUCUAUAUAUGAAAUGGAAGUGAAAGAUGAAACUAGGGGGAGCCACCUUGUGGGAGGCUGUUCAAGUUGCUCUCUGGAGAUCUGCUGCCUGCAUUUAUGGGCCUGCUUUCUUCCAGCAGAUGACCUCCGAUGACUUCUAUCUCAUCGGUCUGAUUGCAUUGCUUUGUAGUAUUACUGUAAAACUUACUUUGCUGAGAAUACUCAUUUGCAUUUGAAAUAUCUCAGCUUUGCAUUACCUAAGAUCAGACUCCCACACUGAUAGAUCAGAAGGAGUUUUAAACCAGUUACCGAAAAGCUGUUAUUCCAGAGCUCUAAAUUAUAUUUUCCCAUCUAACUGUUCAUAUGGUCAGAGCAAUGUAAAAGUGUGUGUUAACUGUAUUAUUUGGAUGCCGAAAAACAAGGUCAUCAUGACAUUGACAGCAGUAUUGACAGAUCUUGACAAGUUUAAAGUCAACUGAAAGGUAGAAUUGAAAUGCUUUUCCUCCCCUGAGGAAUAUGUUGGAUAAUGGCAUAUCUUUAUUGCUGUUCAGCUUGCAAAAAGAUUUAAUUUUUUUAUUCUUUCAAACAAUAAACUUGCAAAGUAGGCCAGUGUUCUCAUUUUAUGGAAAAAGGAGUUGUAUUUAAGGCUGCAAUCUUUUGCACAAUUUCUUAUAUCUGUGUAAGUAUGUACAGCAAUGAGCUACAUAUGUGGCCAAACCUUUGAAUCAUUAGGACAUAUUUGUAAAUAAACUUACUAAGGCUCCCAUAGCAGCACAGGAGAGGAAGGAGCUAUCUCAACUACAAAGUCAAUUUUUAAAAUGGUUGGAUUGAACCCAGAUUUCACAGGUCCAUGCUCAGUAUCCUGUUCUCCCUGAAUUGUGCAAAAGAUAAUCACAGAGGAAUAUACCUCGACUGGAAUUCAAAAAGAAUGCAUUGAGAUUUUGCUUUCUGGGUUGGGGAGUGGAUAAGCAGCCUGAUUUCUUUAGAAUUCAUUGGGAGUUGGGUUUUCUCCUUCCUUAGGCUGCUUUUGAAUGUCCUAGUUCAUAACAAAAUAACACAAGCCUGUACAUCCUUGUUUUUACUGCAUUUUGUCAGAUUGUUCAUGACUGGAAUAUUGAUUGUGAGAUUGCAUCUGCAACUGCCAAGCACUCACCUCCCAUCAGUCUAGUUCUCCUUUUCCAUUAUGCCAUAAAUAGAUUGCCCAGCACAAUAGACUGCACAAAUAUGCAAUAUCAGUCAAGUUGCAUGAGCCUGUUUCUGUGUGUCAGUGUGGUUUAAAAGAAAAAGGAAAAGAAUUCAGACACAAAAGCGGACUCAGUGUAUAGAAUUUUGAAAUGCAUUAUAAUUAAUAAUAGUAACAAGUAAGGUGGAGAUCCUUAACAUUUAACAUCCCAGGCUUGAACACAUUCAUUGGAAAUAAAGCCCAUUGAUUGUAAUGGAAAUUACUUCCAGGGUACUGGGAUAAGGGCCCAAGUGCUCACUAAAUGACACGAAUGUAAAAAUCAUCUCUGUUGGCUUCAAAAUAACCAAACUAACUUGCAACCUCAUCUUUUUACUCUGUAUGCACAAAUGAGGGCUGUGAAUGCUGCUUGAAGUAGAACAUGAUGGUGUUUGGGCAAUUGGUGCUGUUCAAACAUGCAACAGAAAUACCUUUUAAGGUAUACAAGCUGAGAAGGACCCCAGUUUGUAUACCUUAAAAUCUUCUGUGCUUAUCAGCCUUGCAGAAGAGGGAUGAAAAACAAAAUAUGAACUGGAGCAUCCAAUCUUUUAGAAGUCUAAAUUGCAUAAUAUCUUUUUUUUAAAAAGGAAGGGAGCUAUGCAUGAGUUGCACUUCCCAGAGACUGAUGUUGGUGUGGAUACCCCCUUACAUAACUCCCCCCACAUGGCUGAUAAGAUAGCUCACUUUGCACUCAUUACAAAUAGUUGAACCCAAAGUGAAUGCCAUGCCCCUGUCCCCAGCUUUGGAGAGCCAGUGUGGUGUAGUGGUUAAGAGCGGUAGUCUCGUAAUCUGGGGAACCGGGUUCGCGUCUCCGCUCCUCCACAUGCAGCUGCUGGGUGACCUUGGGCCAGUCACACUUCUCUGAAGUCUCUCAGCCCCACUCACCUCACAGAGUGUUUGUUGUGGGGGAGGAAGGGAAAGGAGAAUGUUAGCCGCUUUGAGACUCCUUAGGGUAGUGAUAAAGCGGGAUAUCAAAUCCAAACUCAUAUUCCUCAUAUCCUGUACUAGAAUGCUCUUCCAGUUGGGGAGCCAUUUGCAUACGCUAAUUUAUAUGUAGGUAUGAGAAUUAAGAAGUAAUGUAAUGCCUGUAAUUUCAACAGAAAUACAUUUCACCCUGUUAAGUAUGUCUGUGACCAGGUGCUAUAUGUGCCCACUCAGUACUUGGAAAAGAUAGGAAACUUCAAGGGCCCUGAUCCACCUUAUUGUGGCUCAUUGUCUUGAAAACAGGCUUUCAGUGGACCGCAUUUCAAACAGAAGACUCCUUCCAAUAGGAUUGUCCUCUGACAGCCCUACCAGUAGGGUAGGACAAUGGCCGCUGUUAAUGCAAGAAAGAGACCAAACCAAACACUAAAGAAAUUAGCCAGCCUUGAUCUUUCCGGAAGAGAUUUAUCAUUGCUUGCAUGAUGUAUAUGGCAAAUAGCUAUGAUGCUAUAUAUUAAAGCUGUGGGAUAAAAAAAAAGGAAUAUGAAACAUGUACUGUUCUUUUAAGCAAGGUCAAAUUCAGAUGAAAACCACCAGAAGUGGGAUGAGGGGCAGCAUGAAAAGCUAACCAUCAAAGU